GGAAGUGUGGGUGUGUCGCCUGGAACAAGGAGAAAAGAGGGGAAAACCCUCUUAUUCAACAAAUCAGUGAAAUUGGAAGGGAAAAUCAAAGUCUGAUUGUAUGCAUGAAUACCAAUCCUUGAUCACCUAAGAAUUUCCUGCAUAAGUAAGAAUAUGUUAAAAACGGAAUGUAGAGAAAGACACGAACUUAAAGUAUGUGAUUUGAAUUGUAGGGAUCAAGGAAGAAAGCUCGAGUCGUUCCGGGUCGCAAACAAACAACGACAAAGGUAAAGCGACUUAUUAAAUGGCGUUACUUGGAUCGAACACAUUCAUGAUGCACGCUUCCGUGAAGAAACUAGUUUUAGUCAAAACUUUUGUUAAAUGCUUUUCUUUUGUUCCAAACGGGUCUUUUGUAAGUUUUAUGAUCCGAAAGUAGUAGAUGUUGAACUUGUAGUUAAAAGACUAUGUUAGUAGUUUAUGUAAUGUUUGGGUUAAAAACUUUUGUAGUCGUUAUGUUGUUCGUUACCAAGUUAAAUGCAGAAUUUUGGUUUGUAAAUUAUUCGACCCGUUUACUUCUUUGUUAAAUGAAAGUUCGUUAGUGUCCUUUUUUAAGUUUUAGACCUUACAGCAUAUGUGUUCAUUUGUCAUCUCUAGCUAACUGAUAUAAUAUUAUUCGCAUAACAAUGACCGUUUUGAACUCUGAAAACGGUAUAGCAACAAUAUAAUAUACACGUGUUUCUGAAGUUUGACCGAGAUGACACAAUCGAAACUGGUUGACCGAGUUACAAAUACGAAUGUCAUAAACUGCGCAUUAUUGGCAACUAUACAUGUUCAAUAACAAGAACAUGAUGUGCACACACAUAAUUCUAGUUCUGUUUCCUGAAGAUCUCAGUAUUGGCCUGAUAUGCCAGAUAAAGUUUUAAUCAAUGAUUUUAUAUACCUUGAUCUACAUUUCGCCCGGAAGCAUCGUAUCCCCUGGCAGGUCACAUACCGCAAUUCCCUGAAAGUAAACAAGAUUAUAUAAAAAAAAUGUUUGCGAGUCAACCCAACCCGUUUUCACUGGUAUCAGGUACUCACCUCUCCCGUUAAGUGUGCUACACAUUUCUUCUCGGCAAGCAGCUCGUCCUCAGACUAAAAAAAUAUGAAAGUGAUUUAGCAUUGUACCUUGUAAGAUAAAAAUAUUAUAGAUUUGAAGAGUGAAGAUUUCGAGUACCUUUUUAAUUCUUUUCCAUAGGUAGUCAUCGAAUAUCACGUCUUUAACAAGCUCGUAAUCGCCAUCCCCCUAACCGAAAAAAUUAACGGAGUUGAGAAAUACAAAUUAGAAGAAGAGUUGAAACUUA
RNAcentral lists this long non-coding RNA (1319 nucleotides) under Helianthus annuus (common sunflower). RNAcentral describes it as "hypothetical non coding rna". The record is from RNAcentral. Lineage: Eukaryota; Viridiplantae; Streptophyta; Magnoliopsida; Asterales; Asteraceae.